RNAcentral lists this ribosomal RNA (540 nucleotides) under Nannizzia gypsea. RNAcentral describes it as "eukaryotic LSU rRNA". It matches the Rfam family "Eukaryotic large subunit ribosomal RNA", at positions 76 to 628 of the family's 3401-position model. The record is from RNAcentral. Lineage: Eukaryota; Fungi; Ascomycota; Eurotiomycetes; Onygenales; Arthrodermataceae.
UGCCCCAGUAACGGCGAGUGAAGCGGCAAAAGCUCAAAUUUGAAAUCUGGCCUCCUACGGGGGUCCGAGUUGUAAUUUGUAGAGGAUGCUUCGGGUGUGGCCGCCGUCUAAGUUCCUUGGAACAGGACGUCAGAGAGGGUGAGAAUCCCGUCUUGGGCGGCCGGUCCGCGCCCGUGUGAAGCUCCUUCGAAGAGUCGAGUUGUUUGGGAAUGCAGCUCUAAGCGGGUGGUAAAUUUCAUCUAAAGCUAAAUACUGGUCGGAGACCGAUAGCGCACAAGUAGAGUGAUCGAAAGGUUAAAAGCACCUUGAAAAGGGAGUUAAACAGCACGUGAAAUUGUUGAAAGGGAAGCGCUUGCGGCCAGACUCGGGGGCGGGGUUCAGCGGGUGCUCGUCGCCCGUGCACUCCCCGUCUCCCGGGCCAGCAUCAGUUUCGACGGCCGGUCAAAGGCCUCCGGAAUGUGUCGUCUCUCGGGACGUCUUAUAGCCGGGGGUGCAAUGCGGCCCGUCGGGACUGAGGAACGCGCUUCGGCUCGGAUGCUG